GCCUUACCAUGCAGUCGACGGUAACGCGGGGCAACCUGGCGACGAGUGGCGAACGGGUGAGUAAUACAUCGGAACGUGCCCAGUAGUGGGGGAUAGCCCGGCGAAAGCCGGAUUAAUACCGCAUACGACCUACGGGUGAAAGCGGGGGAUCGCAAGACCUCGCGCUAUUGGAGCGGCCGAUGGCAGAUUAGGUUGUUGGUGGGGUAAAAGCCUACCAAGCCUACGAUCUGUAGCUGGUCUGAGAGGACGACCAGCCACACUGGGACCGAGACACGGCCCAGACUCCUACGGGAGGCAGCAGUGGGGAAUUUUGGACAAUGGGCGCAAGCCUGAUCCAGCAAUGCCGCGCGCGGGAAGAAGGCCUUCGGGUUGUAAACCGCUUUUGUCAGGGAAGAAAUCUCCUGGGCUAAUACCUCGGGGGGAUGACGGUACCUGAAGAAUAAGCACCGGCUAACUACGUGCCAGCAGCCGCGGUAAUACGUAGGGUGCAAGCGUUAAUCGGAAUUACUGGGCGUAAAGCGUGCGCAGGCGGUGAUGCAAGACAGAUGUGAAAUCCCCGGGCUCAACCUGGGAACUGCAUUUGUGACUGCAUCGCUAGAGUGCGGCAGAGGGGGAUGGAAUUCCGCGUGUAGCAGUGAAAUGCGUAGAUAUGCGGAGGAACACCGAUGGCGAAGGCAAUCCCCUGGGCCUGCACUGACGCUCAUGCACGAAAGCGUGGGGGGCAAACAGGAUUAGAUACCCUGGUAGUCCACGCCCUAAACGAUGUCAACUGGUUGUUGGGAGGGUUCCUUCUCAGUAACGUAGCUAACGCGUGAAGUUGACCGCCUGGGGAGUACGGCCGCAAGGUUGAAACUCAAAGGAAUUGACGGGACCCGCACAAGCGGUGGAUGAUGUGGUUUAUUUCGACGCACGCGAAAACCUUACCUACCCUUGAAAUGCCGGGAACUUGCCAAAAAUGGCUUG
Molecule: ribosomal RNA, 963 nt
Filed under: Rubrivivax sp. Arz-B-35
Lineage: Bacteria; Pseudomonadati; Pseudomonadota; Betaproteobacteria; Burkholderiales; Sphaerotilaceae
Description: bacterial SSU rRNA
Rfam family: Bacterial small subunit ribosomal RNA
Source: RNAcentral